CUUCAUAUUUACUAAUUGGCAAAAUGCAACUAUAUUUUGCUUAGACACCUGAUCCUGGCAGUAAUCUUGUUGUUUGCUGAUGAUUUAACAAGGAAUUAGAAUUCUAAACAGCUGUAAAACAUACUCAGAAAUAUUUGCCCUUGACCAAAUCACAGCUUUGAGUUUAUUUUUAAUCCCUGUAAAAGAGAUUUGAUAAACCACAGAAAUUGGCUAUGAGUUUUGCACCUGCCAUGACUUACUAUUUGAGAUUUGUCUUUCUACUGUUGUAAGAUAUCAAGUGUAUUUAUGCCAGUUUACAUAGUGCAGUCUGUUCCCUUAACUGCCUCAGUAUAAAGUACCUGUAGCUUUUAAAUUUAGUGACUUUCAGAACACUUUAAAAGAAUACAUCUUGAAAGCAGAGAGAAAAUCAACAGUGUAUUGUAUUAUUUUGAUGUAACUGGAGAAGCUGCCUGCAGACCAAGUAUCAUCAGCUGUUCCCUUUCAGUACAAAUGAAGUGAGACAACUUGUCCUUGGGAUCUUGAAAGUCUCAACUCUUUGUUUGUGUUUACAGAACAUAGUUUUCCCAUGGAAAAUAAUAAAUUGGGGAAUGAUGUCUAGUCUUACAGUAAUCUUGUGAACUUCACAGCUAUACUGGUUUUACUGCACUCUGUGAGCCCCAACCAUGCUAAUGAGCCUUAAUUUCCUAGUGUGGUCCCACCUGAGACUACCACCCCACCCCACACACCCUGCCCGUAGGACAAAAGCUCAGGUUGUGCAGGUGAAAUCUGGAAAACAACUGGUGAUCAGGGGAUUUAAGAUAAGCGGAGGUGAGCAGGUACAGCAGGUUUCUGUUUUCCUUUCUUAACCAUAUGCAUUUUGAAAAUACUAAUACUUAACUAAUCUCUAGAGCCCAAAGACGUUCUUGGGUUUACACAGGGAGUUGCUGCAAGGGGGUACUGCCCUAUGUGUGGGUUGGAGGUGAGGGUGGACUGCUGGCUGCAGCUGACCAAGGCUGUUCUGCACAGCUGGGUCAGAGAUGAAGCUGCAAUGAGAAGGAAAGGUGCUUUUCUUACUCUGUGGGAGUUCUG
RNAcentral lists this long non-coding RNA (1068 nucleotides) under Meleagris gallopavo (turkey). RNAcentral's name for it is "lncRNA (ENSMGAG00000022107.1)". Lineage: Eukaryota; Metazoa; Chordata; Aves; Galliformes; Phasianidae. The record is from RNAcentral.